This is a non-coding RNA of Petromyzon marinus (sea lamprey), 358 nucleotides long. NCBI's taxonomy places the organism in Eukaryota, Metazoa, Chordata, Hyperoartia, Petromyzontiformes, Petromyzontidae. The record is from RefSeq and is a predicted model, not a curated record.
CAACAACCACCACAACCACAACCACAACAACCACAACCACAACAACCACAACAACAACAACAACAACCACAACCUCACGCUCACCCCGCUACAGCCGGCGUGACUCCGCCUGCUGCCGGCGACACGGAGGGCAGCGUGGAGACUCCCACAGGGAAGGUCCCAGCUCACGCUGUGUUCCAGCCGGACCCACAGCUGUCGGAUCACGGCCAAGCAAAUGCAGCGGACAGAGACCUCUACACCACCCGCAGCCAGCACUAGCACCCUGCUCACCCACUCGCUCACUCACUCACCCACUCACUCACCUACUCACCCACUCAACCACUCACCCACUCACUCAACAACUCACUCAACAACUCAC